GACUUGAUAGCAGAUGGUCUGCACCAGCUUUGUAUUCCGGCAUUCCAAUAUAAUUAUACUGCUGGUAGGCAGCCGGUUCGAUUCCGGUUCGAGUCA
Molecule: non-coding RNA, 96 nt
Organism: Mycena galopus ATCC 62051
Lineage: Eukaryota; Fungi; Basidiomycota; Agaricomycetes; Agaricales; Mycenaceae
Source: the annotation of a GenBank genome assembly